RNAcentral lists this long non-coding RNA (13544 nucleotides) under Brassica rapa (field mustard). RNAcentral's name for it is "long non-coding RNA (BRAP_LNC002578)". The record is from RNAcentral. Lineage: Eukaryota; Viridiplantae; Streptophyta; Magnoliopsida; Brassicales; Brassicaceae.
UCGGCGACAUAGAGUUUUCGAUGGACGACUCUAUGCUUCCAGGAUGGGAUCCGAACCUUGCUUACGGCGACGGGAGCGGUUCGAGCGAGGCUCCUAUUCCGGAUUUCGAUGAUUUCUUUGCUGGGCUGCCAUCGGGUUUCGAUGCUCCUCCUCCUACGAAAGAAUCGGCGAGGCCGAGAGUCGUUGCGGAAGGAUCUCGCAUCAUCAAUGGGGUUUUUUUUUUUUUUUUUUUUUUAUUAUCCUAUGUAUGGAUUUGUAACACGCCCAUCGAAUUUGCAGGGCCUGAGCUUGCUGGGCUCGGCCAUCGAGGCGGGUCAUAGAGAAGCCAUGGUCUACCGUUUUAAAGCGGAGAAAGCGGAGCGGGAUCUUGCUCGCGUGCAAGGCGAGAUGCUGGAGCGAGAGGCACAGCUUACUCGCGAUCAUGCGCGGGCUGUUCGUAGAGCGGAGAGGAAAGGCAAAAGAGAAAUCGUUGAGGUGAUGAAGACUCGCGCAUCUCAGUUCCAGGUUGAAUACGGGAACCUUAAGAAUGCCUUUACCUCGGUGGGCGACUUUCGCGAGUGCCGUGGUUCGGUCGGAGGUCUUUGGCGGACGCAAGCCGACGACUAUGUGUUCGAAGAGGAAUGAGCUUGAUGAAGAGUGGGAUGAGUGACCGUGCCCACGCUGAGGCGCUUAUCCCUCCGAUCGACGAGAGGAUUCAAGGGUUCUGGGAUUCCAUCCCGGUUUCUCCUGAUACCGAGGAGGUCCCGAUUGAUUUUCACGAUGGUGGCGAGGAAGUGGAUCGUCCUGCGGAUGCGUUUGGUGCUUCGUUGUCCGGGGACUUCGACUUUGGAGUAUGAGGGGUGGAUCAGUUAUCCUUGUUUUCGGCCGAAUGUGGCCCUUUGAAUUUGGAUUUCGUUUAGGCCAAGAUGGCCGUAUUUGUAUUUCCGGGACUGGCCGUUGGUGGCUUUGAAUCCCUUGCCGCUUUUACGCGGUUUAUUUAUAUGAUAAAUGUUUUGUUUCAAGUUUUUCCUGAGUAAGGUUGAAGUAAAUACGAGUUGUCGUCUCGUAUGUAGUUCUAAUUAGACGUUCAAUCUGUUGGUUCGUUCGUGAUUUUCGUAAAAAUUUAUCUGUCUUUACGAUUUUCGAGAACAUUGAGAUACGAACGGAGAGGCAUGGUUUAUGAUCUCGUAUCUUUUAGAUAUCAUGCCUUGAGAUGUUUGAGACCAGAGCGUUGGGUUUAGGGCAAGACCUAGGUUUACUUUCGGUUAAGGUUUGUGCGGUGACUAGCCGGCUAUCGUUUUUCCUGUUGCGAUUUCUUCCUGACUCGCACCGGUUUAAAGUCCGCGAUAUGUUCUCGGCUUAUAUGACUUGUAUGGUACGAGUCGAGCAUCUUCUCAGAGUAAACUGGAAGUGCUAAACCAAAAUUUCGGAUUUUUGUUGUAGCGCGCUUUUGUCCUUGUGCUGGACGUUUUUAAAGAUCAAAAGAGUGAUCGGAUUGCGUUUGUUUAAGACGGCUGGCGUGUUCGUCGGGGCCAAUCGACGAACGGGGUGUAAGGUUUUUGGUGGUCGCGUUUGGACAAUUUGUUUAGCAUCGUCCUCGAAUUUUAACUUUUUGCGACGUCUCGCAGUUAUUUUCGAGGAUUAUGCGUGCAUUUUUGCGUGUUUGAGAGGUGAUACGUUUUUGGGCCGGAUGAGGCCGCAGACGAGUGUAAACUGAAGCGUAGGCGUUUUCGAUAAAAAGACAGUGUAUAUUGUAAAAAUUUUAUGUUUCUAAAAACUCGAUUACAAUAAUGGCGAUUGUGGGAGUAUAUGAGUAUACGCACCCACUCCCCCCCUUUUUAGAGAGGGGGAUAGCUGAACUCGUCUUUUGACAAGCUGCCUACGUACCCCUUUCGAGGAUCAAGCCAUCUCGUAGUUCUGUUUCAUGCCGCGAGUGUUCUUACUCAGCGGUUGGUGUCGCGAUGUCCGCCUUGACCGUGUCGAUCGUGGCUGGGUCGACGCUAUUUUCCGGAUGUUCCGGUUGAGUUGUCGCGUGGGCUUCGGGUUUAUGUCGAGCUUCGACAUCCGAUGCGUUUGCGUUGACAGAUGAUUUUACUUCGUCGUGGUGCGGGGCGCUUUUGGCCGAAGAUCGAUCUAUCUUCGCGCGUUUGCCGUUUGCAGAAGCCGUGAUUUGCCUUAACUUAUGCUCCGCGAGAAAGCAUAGUCGCGACUGUUUUUGGCAUCCCCAGAUGGCCGCGACUCCGUUCGGCGUUGGGAACUUGAGACCCAGGUGGUAAGUUGACGGAACUGCCUGCAUGGCGUUGAGCCAUGGGGUUCCCAUGAUCACGUUGUAGAUAGCGGGAUGGUCGACUACCGCGAAUUCGACGAUUUUCGUGAUCUCCUUGGCCAUGACUGGCAAUUGGAUCGACCCGAGAGUCAUCGACACUUCGCCUGAAAAACCCGUGAGUGGUUUUGGCGUUGGAAUUACUUCUCCAAGCUCGAUACUCAUCCGCUUGAGAGUGUCGCGGAAGAUUACGUUGACCGUGCUUCCCGUAUCGACGAGUACCCUUCCGACUUCUAAAUCUCGUAUGACGAGAUCUAUGACGAGCGGGUCGCAGUGAGGUUGGUCGAUACCGCCGGCUUCUUCCUCUGUGAAGGUGAUCGAGCAACUUUGGCCGUCUCGAGGAGGAGACCAUGUAGGCCAAUUUGCGCUUGAUUCUGCCUUCCGUUGGUAAGCCUUGAUGGCCGACACGGUAUCGCCGCAGUAUUGAGAUCCUCCGAUGAUCAUAUUGACUCUGCGACGAUUGUUAUCAUUCCCUUUGUCAUCCGGCCUCCUACCGCGUUUAUCCCCGGGUUGGUUUCGUUGAGGGAUUUUUCAGCGGGCAGAUUUCUGUCCGUUUUUGGGGGCCGAUCAGAAUCGAGGAUGAGAUCCUUGACGCUAGUUACCUCCGAAAGCUCUCCAGCGAGUAGCUUCGCGGCCAGUCUUGCUCCAAGACUUUGCAAUUGGUCGUGGAGUGUCCUCGGGAUUGGUGGAACUCGCAGAAGGUGUUCUCGUCGUACCCUUGAUUGCGAGUCCAUGUGUUGCCCGUGGUCCGGCCUUGCUCCGAAUUGAUCGCAUAGUUAUGCGCCCCUUGGAGAUCUUCCCCCUCGUGAUGGACGUACUUGUCGUUACGAGAGUUCUUCUUUUUCCCCUUCGGAUCCGCGUCUUUCGAGGAUGGUCUUGCCGGCUUAUGUUUUUGCGAUAAGACUUUAGUUUCUUCCUCGACUAUGAUGUAGUCCGUUGCUUUGUGGAGGGCGUCCUGGAUCGUUCGCGGUUUGUCGAGAGUUAUCCAUUUUCUGAAUUUCGACUUGUACCAGAGCGUCUUUCUCAGCGCGUCGAUGGCCACUUUGUCGCUUAUCCCGCUGACCCUGGACAUUAUCAGCUUGAACCGACUGAUAAACUCGCGGAGGGGUUCGUCUUCCCUCUGGGAGAGACUCCAGAGGUCCACAUCGGAGGUUUCCCUGUCUAUGAAUACAGAGUACUGUUUGAGGAAUUCCGAUGCGAGCUGUCGAAAACUCCCGAUGGUGUUGCGACGAAGGCGUGCGAACCAUUCGAGCGCUGCUCCUUCAAGAUUUUCGACAAACAAGCGGCAAUAGCCGGCAUCCUUUUCGCCGUCCUUCAGUCUUGCUCUUCCCAUCGCGAUAUGGAAAGCCUGAAGGUGCGCUUUCGGAUCGGCCGUACCAUCGUACUUUGGUACUCUGAUUUUUCCCGGAUCGGACACCCUCAUGUCCGAAAUGCGGCUGGUAAAGGGGGUCUUUCGAGCUCCUUCCAGCAGUCGAUCGAUCUCGGGGGCAGCACUAGUAGCAUGAUGGAUUUGAGACUUUACGGCUCUCACUUCUGCCGCAGUCUUAGUGAUGUAAUCGCGAAGAUCGCGGAUAUCCGAUGUCUCGUCAGUGGAUUUCCGAGCCUGUCGGCGUUUACUGCGAGUGAGCUCGGUUUGCCUUUCGGCCAGCUCCUCUUGUUCGUUCCAAUAGGCGACUUCUUCUUCUUCCGUCAUUGGUUUUUCGAACGGGGAGCCUUCCCGAGCGGAUCGGCUUCUAGUCCUUCUUGGAUGUCUGUCGACAUCCUCGUCGGUGUCGUUGGAGACAUCGCUAGGAUCCAGGUCAAUAUGUUCGGCUUCGUUAUCCUCCGAGUCCUUUGCAGGGGCGGAAGACUUUCAGAGUUCCCCUUUUCGAUGGGAGAUUUCUCGCUAGGUUUUGACCGGAAGGUCGUUCCCGCGCGACUCCUGCUCUAUCGAGUGGGGUGGCGAAGUCGAGCCUCUUCCCGCGGAUUUUGGUGGUUCCGCGGGGACGGAUAGCUUGGGUCCUUGCCGUUAAGGUUUCAACCUGUUUGGUCAAGGUAUUCACGAGCUUAUCCUGUUCUUCCGACCUUUUUCAUAGGUGGCGAACAUCUUUUUAAACUCCUCGAGAGUCGCGGCGUUGGCUUGCGCGUUGGCCGCAGAUACGUCCGCUACCGGAGUGUGGAGAUCGGUGCCGCUGCCUCCGUUAAGGGGAGUUUGCACGUUAUCCGCGUCGUUGGUUGACAUGUCUGACUGUGUGUGGCUUUUGCGGGUUAGAUUGAUCCGUAAGGCCCCCUCCUUCUAGCGCCAAACUGUGGGAACCGAAAUUCGCACUGUCGAUUUCCGUUUAAAUAAGGAAACUAAGAAAACCCUAGUUUCCCAGAGGACCCGGAUAUCUGUUAAUUACCACACGUCAAGCAAUCAGAACACGAGAAUAACAACGAUAAAGAUAAGAAAUCGAAAAGAGAGCAAAGUAGAUCUUAUUCCGAAUCUGCGUAUGAGCGUUACAACAAGGUAUAAGCCUGGGCUCGAGAGCUGUCGGCGAGAUUCCUAGUUCUAGCAACCCUAAGACGGCUAAACCUAAUUGAGUCGCAGCUCGAAAUAACAAAAACGGAAAGUUGCCUAAAUCGCUCUAAGUGCUAAGUUUGCUCUGAAAAAGUUCUCUUCUGCUCCUCGCCUAGGACUCCUUAUAUACUAGCUCCAAGGUCGGUUUACGUUUUACUCUUCUGCCCUUAAGCCGUCAUAGCAAAAAAUGGAGAUAUUCCAUUUUUCCCGAUCUUCACAAUUAUCUUCAAAACUUCCGUAUUUAUCCGCGGAAACUUGACAUUUAUCCUUCCUCGUGGGCCAAGCGUGAACCAUGCUGUGGUUCACGGGCUUUUGAUUAGGAAAAAUCGUAGGAUGGGCCUCGAGUCGUGUUUUAGGUCCCUUUGGGCCGUCUUCCGACUCGACACGUUUACUACGAGUUUUCCGCGGUUUCUAAUCGAAGUUUUGAUCGAUGGAUUAGAAUAGCGGGAAACAUGGACUGAGCUUGCCACGGUCUUCGGGAGAUAGCAUUCGAAGGUUUGACGAGAAUGCAAGGACUGGUGUCGUAUCGAUGUUCGGAAAGGUUCAAUCGCUACACAGCGACCGACUUGGCUCGAGCCCGGUCGCUACGUAGCGACCGAGCGACGAUCGCUCGGUCGCUACGUAGCGACCGAGCUUGGCUCGAGCUCGGUCGCUACGUAGCGACCGAGCGGGACGAUCGCUCGGUCGCUACGUAGCGACCGAGCUUUGGCUCGAGCUCGGUCGCUACGUAGCGACCGAGCGGGACGAUCGCUCGGUCGCUACGUAGCGACCGAGCUUGGCUCGAGCUCGGUCGCUACGUAGCGACCGAGCGGGACGAUCGCUCGGUCGCUACGUAGCGACCGAGCUGGACGAUCGCUCGGUCGCUACGUAGCGACCGAGCUUGCGAGCUGGUCGCUACGUUGCGACCGAACUUGGCUCGGGUUUGUUUGAAUCUCAAAGGAUACUUCUUCGUAAAAACCUCGUGUAGGUUAUUUUUACGAAAUUACAUCCCUUCUUUUACUAACUCUUUCGGAAAUGCGAUCUCCGAGGAUUUUCGGGGGUAAUUCCGUCGUGACCGUUUUUGACCCCAACAGGCGUGAUGAUGGAAUUAAUAUCGAAAGUCCGAGCGCUCAUCCCGCUCGGUCGCUAUGUAGCGAUCGAGCGGGACGAGUGCUCGGUCGCUACGUAACGACCGAAGGACGAGUGUGCUCGGUCGCUACGUAGCGACCGAGCCAGCGAGCUUUGGUUCGAGCUCGGUCGCUACGUAGCGACCGAGCUUUGGCUCGAGCUUGGUCGCUACAUAGAGACUGAGUGGGUCGGACGUUCGAUCGCUAGCAGUGGCCGAUAUCGGCCCGAACUUGGUGCUACGUAGCGACCGGGCGGCGUGUAUGCGCAUAAUUACGCAACGACUGAGCCUGGUUUGUUUGGUUUGAAUCUUCAAGGAUACUUCUUCGUAAAACUUCGUAUGGUGAUAUUUUACGAAAGUUGUAUCCUUCUUUUUACUAUCCUUCGGAAAUACGAUCUCCGAGGAUUUUCGGGUGGUAAUUCCGUCGUAACCGUUUUUGCCCCAACAACCCCAAGAUCCGUUGUGGGGGUUGUGAUUCUCGGAGGAGCCUUCUUUCUGAAUGAUUUCAUUUUUUGUUUUGAGACUCCGGCUUUUGUUGCUCUCUUUUUUGUUUGACUAAAGGCUCUUUGCAGCCCCCUUUGAUUUUUUGGAAUAAUGAUGCUUCAUAGUUUUUUCCUUUUUAUCCACUCCUUCCUGUUGCUUCGCAUGCUUCUGAUAGUAGUGUUUCGAAUAUUUCUUUUUAAGAGGAUCUCAUUCCGCAUGUUUCCCGAUCGAGAUGGGGCUUGUAGUAUAUGAUCACUCUUUAUCCUUUCUGUAGGUUAGAUAAUAGGAUCCCGGGAGAUGGGCUCCAAAACAGAGGUUUUGAGCUAAAUUAUGGACUCUUGAAAUCUGGAGAUUGCUCUUGUAACCCGGAGGUUGCGUGAGGACCCAGAGGUUGUUUGGGGACCCGGAGGUUGUCUGGGGACCCGGAGGUUUUCUGGGGACCCGGAGGUUGUCUGGGGACCCAGAGGUCGCGGAGGAGCCCGAAGGUUCUCCCUUAGAUCCUGAAAUCACACUCGGGACCCAGAGGUCCUUCUAGACCAUGAGGUCUUGCUUGGGACCCGGAGGUCCUUCUCUAGAUAAUGGGAUCAUGACUGGAGCCCGGAGGUGGUGUAGGAACCCGAAGAUUCUUUGAUAGAUCCGGAGAUCUUAGUUGGAACCCGGAGGUUUUCAUGAUCGUGAUUGAACUGUGAGGUCGUGUGAGAAUACAUGGUUUUUCCCUGAGAUCGUAUCGGGACCCUGGUGUUUGCAUUUGGACCCUGACGUCGCAUGGGAACCUGGAGGUUUUUAGGGCACAUGAGUAUCCAUAUUUUUGCCAUCGGAACCGCUUCACUAUCAGCCAAAGUCCGAUGCAAACCCGAGUUACCUGAUCAUGCUUCACUCCGCGACAUCUCGACUUUGAAGUCCUGUUAAUCACAAAAGUAGUGAUCCCCGUAAGUCGUAUGUCCAGUAAAACUGAAACUGUAAAUUACAACCAGCCCCUUGUUCACAAAGGGCUGGUUGUAAUUUCAAUAGCCCUUGUGAACAAACAAAAAAAAACUGAAAUUGUUUUACGUUUCUAACCCCCGUAAGUCGUCUGUCCAGACGACUUACUGGAAAGUCGUCUAGACUAGUUAUACUUUAAAAUAAUUUAAACUUUUUGUAAAAAAUAUUUUGAUAAGUGAAAAAUUGAAAACAUGUAAUUAACAUAUAUUUUAAGAGAUAUAAAUUAAGAUGUAACAAAAGUUAAUUGUUUUCAACAUAGAUGAGUGAAAGUAGUGAGUCAUGAUAUUCUUUGGUUUAGGUUUUGCCAACAUAUGUUGUAGUAUUGUAUGUGUUCUUAGGGUUAGAUUUUGGAAUGUAUAAAUGUUUUUUUUGAAAACUUUAAAAUUUACCUAAGUGUGUUUAUUUAUGUAUAUAGUAAACACUAUUUAAGUAUAACAACGGCUUUAUAAUGUGGUUAGUUAGUUAAGUUAGUCAAUUUAGUUUAGGGGUUAAAUUUAGGGUCUGGGACGACUUACUAGUAAGUCUUCCGAUGUACAGUAUUCAACAGAUGACUUACUAGUAAGUCGUCCAAACCGGACCGAACCUUUCAUUUUACAAUGUACUUUUAAACCUAACCGGAUUAUUUACAAGCCAUAUAUAAGGUGUUUUUUUAAUUCACUUUUUCGCGAAAUUCAGAAAACCCUAACGCUGUUUCUGUCAAAGGCGAUUUCGAAGGUGAUUUCCGUUGAUUCUCUCUAAUCCAUCGUUCUCACCGCCGGUUAUCUCUCCGCCGUUAUCACCGUCGUUUUCACCACCGUUCUCACAGCCGCUUCCUCUAUUUAAGAUCUGAUAGGAAACCCUAGCGCACAUUCUCUCAGAGGCGUCUCGUUAACUAACAUAAAAUGUUGUCUCUAUCAAUUUAUACACUCGUUCUUUUUUCACAUCUAUUCUUCCAGAUAUAUAACCGCUGUGUUGAAGGCGACUAUAUCUUCUCUGAAUUUUCAGGUCGGCUUUUAAAUGUUCUACUGGAAGUCUUGGAAGACUUAUAAUUAAAUCACGACUUAAUUAUAAGUCUUUCAGCUGGAAAACUUGCCAGACGACUUAAUUAUAAGUCUUUGAUUGUUUUGAGAUGGUUGUCUUUGAUUUUUUGGACGUUGCAUACUGCUUUAACGAAUUUGAAGAGCUGAAGGAGUCGAAGUUGGGAGUUUUCAUCAAGUUCCAAGAGCUAGAAUUUGAUUGGGCUUCAAGGCUGGUCACUACAUGAUCAGUUUCCAGCUGGACAUAAAGAAGAAGUAUGAGCUGUGGAGUCUCGUUGGUCCACAAGCUGUAAGGUUUUCAGUGUUAGAGUUUGAAAACCUCACUGGUCUAAACUGCGAGUACAUCGAGGACCUUGAGAGACCUCACUGGUCAAAAUAUGUGCGACUAUUAUGGCUUUAUUAUGUAUGUAUUAUUAUUUCUUCACCUGCUUUCAUGAGAUUGUGUUUCUCUGUUACAUGCUGAUUUUUAUUACUGUUUUCAUUAGGUUUGUAAGACUAUUUUUGUCUGUAGAUGGAUACUAAAUGAAUUAAUAAAUAUAAUAAACCAAAAGUACAGAUUGCAGGUAUUGAAUUAGGAAAAUAUAGAAAGAAAUAGAUAUAAAAUGUAAAAUAGGAAAGCUUCAAACUUCAAACUAAUAUUUACAUUCAACAAGCUAUUUCAGAUCAGUUUAACUUUUUAUAGGCAGAUCAAACUUAAUUUUAUAUGUUUGCGGUUAAUUAUGAUAGUUGUGUUAAUUUUUUUAUGUAUAACUAUACCCAUUUUUUUAUGAUAAAACAAAUUUAUUGUAAACAUGUCAACUUUAGUCAACUAAAAUGUGUUUUUUUGUAAGUAAAAAUAUUCCCAUGCAAAGCAUGGGACCAACACUAGUUAUAAAUGAAAAAGAAGCUUCUAAAACCUCUAACCUCCCACUAGAAGUUCGAUCUUGCGUUUGUGUUUCGGUGGCCGUCGGCUUCAUCGCCGUCGGUUACCGCUCUGUUUCUGGUUUUUGAUUAGUUCUGAUCUAUAGUCGGAACCACCUCCGGCUUGUCGGCUUUUACUUUUACUUGUACUUUGUACAUCUCCGUUUUGUUCGGUUUAUGCUCCGACUAGAGUCGGUUUAUUUUCUCUCUCACCUUUUGCAUGUUUGUAUGAUCAUUCCGCUCUGCUCGGAAGAGUGAUAUGUCGGGUAUUAGAUCGGCUUUUGCUUUUCACUGGUUUUGCUUGAUUGUUUCUUCAUCGAAGAGUAAUCUUUUCGUUUGUGUUAUAUGAGCAGUUAGAACGAAGUAUCUUCAUGUUAGAUACAUCAAGUGAUUCGGAUUAUUGGGUGAUUUACACGAAGAUUUAGAGAUGCUGGUCGUGUUCUGAUGGUGCUAUAAAGAAUGUUAAGACCUCAAUCAUCUGCGGUUUUAAUUUAUUCUGGUGUUACGAAAAAUCCGACUCUUGAACCGGAGAAAGCAAAAGUUCAAUCAGUUUCAAAGGUAGAAGUAUAGGUGUCUGAAGUGAAGAGCAAAGCCUUAAGCUUCUUUUGACAUGGCUCAUACAACGAUGCAAGCGGCGAAGCGACAAUCAGAGUUAAUCAAGAUGUGGUGGUAAUCACGACUACGUGGCUCUGCUGAAUCCAGAGAUAAUGGGGACACGUGCCAUAAUUUAUUUCAUCCUCUGUUCAAAACGCCUACAAGACGUUCCGCGUUCUGACGAACGUAACGAAAUAAAGAAGGUUGUUCGUGAGAUUAAGCUCGGUCUUAAGAUGGCUCAAGAUCGGGAGUGUGCCAAUGCUGGCCCAACUGGCUGUCAUCGAAAAUCUGGGGNNNNNNNNNNNNNNNNNNNNNNNNNNNNNNNNNNNNNNNNNNNNNNNNNNNNNNNNNNNNNNNNNNNNNNNNNNNNNNNNNNNNNNNNNNNNNNNNNNNNACUGUCGAUUCCGUUUAAAUAAGGAAACUAAAAAAACCCUAGUUUCCCAGAGGACCCGGAUAUCUGUUAAUUACCACACGUCAAGCAAUCAGAACACGAGAAUAACAACGAUAAAGAUAAGAAAUCGAAAAGAGAGCAAAGUAGAUCUUAUUCCGAAUCUGCGUAUGAGCGUUACAACAAGGUAUAAGCCUGGGCUCGAGAGCUGUCGGCGAGAUUCCUAGUUCUAGCAACCCUAAGACGGCUAAACCUAAUUGAGUCGCAGCUCGAAAUAACAAAAACGGAAAGUUGCCUAAAUCGCUCUAAGUGCUAAGUUUGCUCUGAAAAAGUUCUCUCUGCUCCUCGCCUAGGACUCCUUAUAUACUAUAUACUAGCUCCAAGGUCGGUUUACGUUUUUACUCUUCUGCCCUUAAGCCGCGUCAUAGCAAAAAAUGGAGAUAUUCCAUUUUUCCCGAUCUUCACAAUUAUCUUCAAAACUUCCGUAUUUAUCCGCGGAAACUUGACAUUUAUCCUUCCUCGUGGGCCAAGCGUGAACCAUGCUGUGGUUCACGGGCUUUUGAUUAGGAAAAAUCGUAGGAUGGGCCUCGAGUCGUGUUUUAGGUCCCUUUGGGCCGUCUUCCGACUCGACACGUUUACUACGAGUUUUCCGCGGUUUCUAAUCGAAGUUUGAUCGAUGGAUUAGAAUAGCGGGAAACAUGGACUGAGCUUGCACGGUCUUCGGGAGAUAGCAUUCGAAGGUUUGACGAGAAUGCAAGGACUGGUGUCGUAUCGAUGUUCGGAAAGGUUCAAUCGCUACACAGCGACCGAUCUUUGGCUCGACCCGGUCGCUACGUAGCGACCGAGCGGGACGAUCGCUCGGUCGCUACGUAGCGACCGAGCUGGCUCGAGCUCUCGGUCGCUACGUAGCGACCGAGCGGGACGAUCGCUCGGUCGCUACGUAGCGACCGAGCUUUGGCUCGAGCUCGGUCGCUACGUAGCGACCGAGCGGGACGUCGCUCGGUCGCUACGUAGCGACCGAGCUUGGCUCGAGCUCGGUCGCUACGUAGCGACCGGCGGGACGAUCGCUCGGUCGCUACGUAGCGACCGAGCGGGACGAUCGCUCGGUCGCUACGUAGCGACCGAGCUUGGCUCGAGCUCGGUCGCUACGUAGCGACCGAGCGGGACGAUCGCUCGGUCGCUACGUAGCGACCGAGCUUGGCUCGAGCUCGGUCGCUACGUAGCGACCGAGCGGGACGAUCGCUCGGUCGCUACGUAGCGACCGAGCUUUGGCUCGAGCUCGGUCGCUACGUAGCGACCGAGCGGGACGAUCGCUCGGUCGCUACGUAGCGACCGAGCUUGGCUCGAGCUCGGUCGCUACGUAGCGACCGAGCGGGACGAUCGCUCGGUCGCUCGCUACUAGCGACCGAGCUUGGCUGAGCUUGGUUGCUACGUUGCGACCGAACUUGGCUCGGGUUUGGUUUGAAUCUCAAAGGAUACUUCUUCGUAAAAACCUCGUAUAGGUUAUUUUUACGGAAAUUACAUCCCUUCUUUUACUAACUCUUUCGGAAAUACGAUCUCCGAGGAUUUUCGGGUGGUAAUUCCGUCGUGAACCGUUUUUGACCCCAACAGUUAGCCCCCCAGCCCGUUAGGAUCAUGCAUCGUAGGAUCCUAGCGUGCGGUUAGGCAUGUUUGGCAAGUUAGGCGUGAUGGGUGGAAUUAAUAUCCGAAAGUCCGAGCUUGAAUAGUAAAUCCUCAUGUCUUAUAAGAAGAGAGGUAACUUGUUCCAUAAUUUUUUCACUUUCUUGUUUUUCUCUAAGAUCUCUAAAAAAAACUUUCUAUCUUUCUUUCCACCCUUUUCCUUUAUUCUCUCAAGAGAAGUGCAAAGAUGUCGAGCAAGAAAAAGAUUGCGAAAAAAGGGUCUUCGUCCGCGAGCCCUUACGAAGAGCUCAUCGUUCCGAAGAUGGAGUUCGUGCCUCACUCGGUGCAUCCUGCCGAGAACGAGGCAUGGUGGGUUGCUCAUUAUGGCUCGUUGACCCUCCCAAGGAGAAGCCAUUCCCGAUCCUGGUCCAUCGUGGAGUCGAGGAAGAGGAUGCAAGCAGGACUACCGACGAGUUUCUCGCGACGAUGCGGUCGUUCUACCACACAUCUCGGAUGCCGUGGAGUUCCGGGUUCCCUGCCGCGGGGAAUGUGCUAACAACCCCCCGGAGGGUUACUUUACUUGUUAUGAGGCGUUCAUAGUGCGUUGUCGCCUCUGGUUCCCCAUACCCGAAAUUCUCGUCCGAGUGUUGGACCGUUUCGAAGUUGCGAUAAGUCAGUUGACACCCCUUGCCAUUCAACACCUUAUUGGGAUCUUGAUCCUAAGCUAUGAGCAUGGCCUUUCCCUCUCCGUCGAUCAUUAUGAAGCGCUUUUGAGGCUUCAACUUGUCACGGAUUCGGAUAAGCAUAGGUUUGUCCCUCGGAAAUUUAUGUCGGUGGUUAAGAAGUUCAUUUCAAACUUCAACUCAACUCGUGGAAGAUUCUUUUUCUUUGUUCGUUUGGACGCUGCGUCCGUCGAAGAGAGUUGCAUUCCACUGUUCCGAAGGUUGCCGAACAAUCGUCCUUUCAUCAAUCCUCUUGCUCCGUUCCCCGAAGAUAUCAUUUCGGUGAGGGAUCUUCUCAGGAAUGGUCCCUUCUUCUGGACUUCUUUUACGCCGAAGAGGGUUCGGAAGGCACUGAGAUUCGUGCAACCCGGUCCCGCUUUGGAUGCGGACACGGGAAGCGACUCCGAACCCGACGACCAGAAUCCCGUCGAAGCCCCGACAGCUGUGCCGGAGUCGAGCUCUUGGAAGGGAAAAGAUGUCGAUCUUGGCGACAUAGAGUUUUCGAUGGACGACUCUAUGCUUCCAGGAUGGGAUCCGAACCUUGCUUACGGCGACGGGAGCGGUUCGAGCGAGGCUCCUAUUCCGGAUUUCGAUGAUUUCUUUGCUGGGCUGCCAUCGGGUUUCGAUGCUCUUCCUCCUACGAAAGAAUCGGCGAGGCCGAGAGUCGUUGCGGAAGGAUCUCGCAUCAUCAAUGGGGUUAGUUUUUUUUUUUUUUUUUUUUUUAUUAUCCUAUGUAUGGAUUUGUAACACGCCCAUCGAAUUUGCAGGGCCUGAGCUUGCUGGGCUCGGCCAUCGAGGCGGGUCAUAGAGAAGCCAUGGUCUACCGUUUUAAAGCGGAGAAAGCGGAGCGGGAUCUUGCUCGCGUGCAAGGCGAGAUGCUGGAGCGAGAGGCAC